This 113-nucleotide non-coding RNA is filed under the name Kroppenstedtia eburnea. Its description in RNAcentral is "Thermoactinomycetaceae bacterium JFMB-ATE SAM riboswitch aptamer (S box leader)". It matches the Rfam family "SAM riboswitch aptamer (S box leader)". From Rfam's summary of the family: The SAM riboswitch is found upstream of a number of genes which code for proteins involved in methionine or cysteine biosynthesis in Gram-positive bacteria. The SAM riboswitch acts at the level of transcription termination control. The record is from Rfam by way of RNAcentral. RNAcentral also lists the same sequence under 1 other name. Lineage: Bacteria; Bacillati; Bacillota; Bacilli; Caryophanales; Thermoactinomycetaceae.
CUCUUAUCAAGAGAGGCGGAGGGACUGGCCCGAUGAAGCCCGGCAACCUACCGUGCGUUUUACGCGCGGUGUGGUGCCAAUUCCUGCAGAGUGCAAUCUCUGGCAGAUGAGAG